Molecule: ribosomal RNA, 475 nt
Filed under: uncultured Acidobacteriota bacterium
Lineage: Bacteria; Pseudomonadati; Acidobacteriota
Description: bacterial SSU rRNA
Rfam family: Bacterial small subunit ribosomal RNA
Source: RNAcentral
GAGGGGCCCGCGCCCGAUUAGCUAGUUGGUAGGGUAAUGGCCUACCAAGGCUUUGAUCGGUAGCUGGUCUGAGAGGAUGAUCAGCCACACUGGAACUGAGACACGGUCCAGACUCCUACGGGAGGCAGCAGUGGGGAAUCUUGCACAAUGGGCGAAAGCCUGAUGCAGCGACGCCGCGUGGGGGAUGAAGCAUUUCGGUGUGUAAACCCCUUUCGAUCCGGACGAAUGCCCGCAAGGGAGUGACGGUACGGAUAUAAGAAGCCCCGGCUAACUACGUGCCAGCAGCCGCGGUAAGACGUAGGGGGCCAGCGUUGUUCGGAAUUACUGGGUGUAAAGGGUUCGUAGGCGGUGCGGCAAGUUGGGAGUGAAAUCUCUGGGCUUAACCCAGAGGCUGCUUCCAAAACUGCUGUGCUUGAGUGUGGGAGAGGCGCGUGGAAUUGCAGGUGUAGCGGUGAAAUGCGUAGAUAUCUGCAGG